GCAAGUCGAGCGGACGGAUGGGAGCUUGCUCCCUGAAGUCAGCGGCGGACGGGUGAGUAACACGUGGGCAACCUGCCUGUAAGACUGGGAUAACUUCGGGAAACCGGAGCUAAUACCGGAUAAUGCAUUUCCCCUCAUGGGGAUAUGCUGAAAGAUGGUUUCGGCUAUCACUUACAGAUGGGCCCGCGGCGCAUUAGCUAGUUGGUGAGGUAACGGCUCACCAAGGCAACGAUGCGUAGCCGACCUGAGAGGGUGAUCGGCCACACUGGGACUGAGACACGGCCCAGACUCCUACGGGAGGCAGCAGUAGGGAAUCUUCCGCAAUGGACGAAAGUCUGACGGAGCAACGCCGCGUGAGUGAUGAAGGUUUUCGGAUCGUAAAACUCUGUUGUCAGGGAAGAACAAGUGCCGGAGUAACUGCCGGCACCUUGACGGUACCUGACCAGAAAGCCACGGCUAACUACGUGCCAGCAGCCGCGGUAAUACGUAGGUGGCAAGCGUUGUCCGGAAUUAUUGGGCGUAAAGCGCGCGCAGGCGGUCUCUUAAGUCUGAUGUGAAAGCCCACGGCUCAACCGUGGAGGGUCAUUGGAAA
This 592-nucleotide ribosomal RNA is filed under the name Bacillus sp. CH128a_4D. Its description in RNAcentral is "bacterial SSU rRNA". It matches the Rfam family "Bacterial small subunit ribosomal RNA", at positions 57 to 632 of the family's 1533-position model. Lineage: Bacteria; Bacillati; Bacillota; Bacilli; Caryophanales; Bacillaceae. The record is from RNAcentral. RNAcentral also lists the same sequence under 1 other name.